CAGUCGCCGCGGGAAUACGUAGGUCCCGAGCGUUGUCCGGAUUUAUUGGGCGUAAAGGGAGCGCAGGCGGUUUCUUAAGUCUGAUGUGAAAGCCCCCGGCUCAACCGGGGAGGGUCAUUGGAAACUGGGAAACUUGAGUGCAGAAGAGGAGAGUGGAAUUCCACGUGUAGCGGUGAAAUGCGUAGAGAUGUGGAGGAACACCAGUGGCGAAGGCGACUCUCUGGUCUGUAACUGACGCUGAGGAGCGAAAGCGUGGGGAGCGAACAGGAUUAGAUACCCGGGUAGUCCCUGUCUCUUAUAC
Molecule: ribosomal RNA, 301 nt
Filed under: uncultured bacterium
Lineage: Bacteria
Description: partial 16S ribosomal RNA
Rfam family: Bacterial small subunit ribosomal RNA
Source: RNAcentral